UCGCCUUGGCAGAAAACAAUAAUUCCAGAGUGAUGCGUUAGCAGUUACCAGAUUGCGUGAACAGUAAAGGAGUAUUGUUCAUCUAUUUAUAGGCACAGGACGCAGCCUGUAAGAAAUUAUAAUCAUGCCCCUUACAGAAGAUUACAAUUAUGACUCAGACCCUUAUGGGACUAAAAAGUCAUUCCAUCUUUAUGUCGGUUCAAUCCUUCGUCUUUGGAUACGUUAUAGUAUCGAAGCUUCAUGAGCGGUAGCUUCGGUAUCACGUCUAAACAGAUUUGUCGAAGGUGUUUGUUUCUGCAGGACCUUCGGCGACGAAGCAUGGUCCCAACAAGCACUGUGUGAUGAUGUCCAUGUUAUGUAACUGCUGUGUACGUGAAUUGCUGAUCCUGGCACGUACAUGGUUCGCAUUCGGUUUGCCUUCUAAAAACCGGGUGUGACACAUAUAGACAGGAAUAUCACAAACCUAAAUAGUGCUACGCGAUAGCGAAUUAAACACCUAGCGGCGAGGCGUUGUAGAAUUUUAUACGGAAACACUAGUUACUGAUAUACGACUAUGCCCAAUUAUCACACUUUUCUAGCGUGAUCGCAUCUACUUCAAAAAUCAAGUGAUAAUAAACUAAACACAAGUCCUAUAUCAAAACAUGCAUCGAGGCACCAUUCACAUCACCUACCAAUUGACGAUCAUUAUACAAUGUGAUUAAUUCACCAUUGAACGCAAGUAAUCACAAGCAUCAGAUCAAUUCGAUUACACUAGACAUAUGUUUCCAUUUUGUAAAUUAAGAUAUAUAAGAUACAUGUCGACGAUGCUAACCACAAUCGACCAUAAUCAUACUUAAAACUAACUUAACUAGUUUUCUAAACUAUUUUCC
This 869-nucleotide long non-coding RNA is filed under the name Zea mays. RNAcentral's name for it is "drought responsive lncRNA". The record is from RNAcentral. Lineage: Eukaryota; Viridiplantae; Streptophyta; Magnoliopsida; Poales; Poaceae.